ACAGCUGUGUAAAGCCUCAACUGGUAGUAACCAGUAGUGCCUAAUACUGCUGUCUUAAAGGAAUAACAAUAUAGUCAAAUACUGGAUGUACAAGCUUUAAGGCCCCAUUCAGCUGAAAGACCUGGGGUUAUCAAUAUCUGUGUGUCUUUGUGAGUAUACAGAAUAUGUGUACCCUUGAAGACCAGAAGACACUGAAGUCAUGGGCUGUUUUACUAAGUGGGCGCUGGAAAUCAUUUGGAGUAGUACUCAUGCAUAACCGCUGAGAUAUCUCCAGCUCCUCGAAAACUUUGUUUAAGAUGACAUUUCAAGAAAAACUCAUGAACACUCCUUUGUGUUAUACAAAUAUAAAAAUUUUUCCUUGAUUACUCCUUUGUCACAUCUCUAAUUCGGUACUUUGUUCUGCAUCUCUGGGUUUGUGAAACUACUAGGUAGUAGUUCUUAACCUUCCUACUGCUGCAACCUUUUAAUACAGUUCCUCAUGUUGUGAUGACCCCCAAUCAUAAAAUAUUUUGUUGUUACUUCAUAAACGUAAUUGUGGCACUGAUAAGGAGCAUGAUGUAGAUAUCUGAUAUGCAGGAAGCCCACAGGCUGAGAAGCAGUAUACUAGGGAUUCUUUAGCUGUUGAUCUUCUUUAAUUGCAUGGUCACCACAGAGAAUACACUCAGUUAUUUCAAGUUUUCUA
Molecule: long non-coding RNA, 682 nt
Organism: Mus musculus (house mouse)
Lineage: Eukaryota; Metazoa; Chordata; Mammalia; Rodentia; Muridae
Product: predicted gene, 40145
Exons: 2
Source: RefSeq, a predicted model, not a curated record